This 253-nucleotide ribosomal RNA is filed under the name uncultured bacterium. Its description in RNAcentral is "partial 16S ribosomal RNA". It matches the Rfam family "Bacterial small subunit ribosomal RNA", at positions 524 to 776 of the family's 1533-position model. The record is from RNAcentral.
UACGGAGGGUGCGAGCGUUAAUCGGAAUAACUGGGCGUAAAGGGUACGCAGGCGGGCUUUUAAGUGAGAUGUGAAAUCCCGGGGCUUAACCUAGGAAUAGCAUUUCAGACUGGGAGUCUAGAGUACUUUAGGGAGGGGUAGAAUUCCACGUGUAGCGGUGAAAUGCGUAGAGAUGUGGAGGAAUACCGAUGGCGAAGGCAGCUCCCUGGGAUUGUACUGACGCUGAUGUGCGAAAGCGUGGGGAGCAAACAGG